GACGAACGCUGACGGUGUGCUUUAGACAUGCAAGUCGAACGAGAAAGCCCUUCGGGGUGAGUACAGUGGCGAACGGGUGAGUAACACGUGGGCAACCUGCCCCUCGCAGGGGGACAACCGGAGGAAACUCCGGCUAAUACCCCGUAAGCUUGUUGGGUCGCAUGACCCUUCAAGGAAAGGUAGCUUCGGCCAUCCGGCGAGGGAUGGGCCCGCGGUACAUUAGCUAGUUGGUGGGGUAACGCCCACCAAGGCGACGANGUAUAGCUGGUCUGAGAGGAUGAUCAGCCACACUGGGACUGAGACACGGCCCAGACUCCUACGGGAGGCAGCAGUCGGGAAUCUUGCGCAAUGGGCGAAAGCCUGACGCAGCAACACCGUGUGAGCGACGAAGGCC
RNAcentral lists this ribosomal RNA (394 nucleotides) under uncultured bacterium. Its description in RNAcentral is "bacterial SSU rRNA". It matches the Rfam family "Bacterial small subunit ribosomal RNA", at positions 28 to 416 of the family's 1533-position model. The record is from RNAcentral.